RNAcentral lists this ribosomal RNA (388 nucleotides) under uncultured bacterium. RNAcentral describes it as "partial 16S ribosomal RNA". It matches the Rfam family "Bacterial small subunit ribosomal RNA", at positions 523 to 918 of the family's 1533-position model. The record is from RNAcentral.
AUACGUAGGUGGCAAGCGUUAUCCGGAAUUAUUGGGCGUAAAGAGUGAGCAGGCGGUUAAUUAAGUCUGAGGUUAAAGCGUGGGGCUCAACCCCAUAAAGCCUUGGAAACUGAUUGACUAGAGUACGGGAGAAGUGAAGGGAACUCCCUGUGUUGCGGUGAAAUGCGUAGAGAUAUGGAAGAACACCAGUGGCGAAGGCGCUUCACUAGCCCGAAACUGACGCUCAGUCACGAAAGCGUGGGUAGCAAAUAGGAUUAGAGACCCUAGUAGUCCACGCUGUAAACGAUGACAACUAAAUAUUGCCGCGAGGCAGUGUUGAAGCUAACGCAUUAAGUUGUCCGCCUGGGGAGUACGGUCGCAAGACUGAAACUUAAAGGAAUUGACGGGG